CCCGAGCGGGACUGGGCCCCUUUCAGGGAGCGGAAAUUGGGUCAGUGACGAAGUUCUAGGGCCUCAGCCACUCAUAUCGCGAGAGUAGCACAUGCUAGGGCGUAGGAUAGUGGCUCGGAAGGGCCAAGCCCCGCGCAUCGUGCGUACGAAGAUCUGUGUCUUCUUGGACUAGAUGGUGAAGCCCAGUAGCUGGGUUUCGGAGGAGAGAGGACUUGUCCCGGCGCUGCGAGUCGAUGUGGGUGCCCUGCCUUCCCACAGGCUGUUUCUGGGGCAGCGGCGCACUGACCUUCGACAGGCGGGCGUCGGCCAGGUCACAGCCAGUGACGGUGGCGGGCUCUUGACGUGUAGGGUGUGGUGUGCUCAUACCGCCUGGAGUGGUGGCGUGGGCGCGAGCCGAAUUCCAGUAGUUUAGAGUCUCAGCCUGCUGCGAACCCCGUGUGACUCAGUCUCAGUCUCCUCAUCUGUCAGUUGGGAGUAGAUAAGUUAAUUCCUGUGAUGGCUCCCGCCCUGUACUGUACCUAUUCUGUAAUUGUUCACUCACUCCCCCUCCUGGAGUUGCCUCAGUGUGUAGAGACAGCCUCAUUUGUUCGUUGAUAUAACAUCCAUUUCCUCAGGGUGUUCCAUAGAUCAGUGUUUUCCAAAUGUGUUGGACAGCAACCAAAAGAAACAUUUUGCAUCGCGACCUUAAAUAUUGUACACUUACAUAAAUAUAAAAGCGAACCAGAAGUUUCUGGAAGCAGUGAGGGCAGCAGUUUGCAGAAUGGAGUUUGGAAACCAUUGGUUUGAAUCUCAGCUCUGUCCCUGACCAGCCGUUGGGGCACCAAGAAGACCAUAUAUGUAUUUGUAUACUGGGUGGCAGGGACUGAAUUGACUGUACCAAGAAGCAUCUUCUGGGGGAACAUGAGUGGGUUGAAGGGGAGUAUGCUUAAUUUUUUCCACUUUGGGAUUGUAGACCAGAUUAUAGAGGUUAUGUAUGGAAAACCCAAAAUAUAUUCCUAGGGGAAAGAGAUGAAAACUAAUACACUUAUUAAGUACUAUCUAUGAAAUCAUAUUUAAAUUUCUCAGUAACCGUUGAAAUAAGUAUUGUCAUCCUUUACCAUAGACAAGGAAACUAAGGCUAAAAGCAGGCACGUGAUAUCCCUAAGUUCAUACAAUAAGUUGGACAGGUGGACUUUAACCCAUUUUGGCUUAGUCCAAAGCCUGUUUACUUGAUAUUACACAAUGCUACUUUACUGUUUUGAAAGAAGACCACAUGGAACCUGAUGAUUGAUACCCCUGAACUGUUAGCUGGCCUUAAAUUUUUGUAAUAAAAUGAAUAGAUGUAUACAUAGUACUUUAUGGCCCAGGUGAGCAUUUUUACUCGACAACACUUAGCUGUCAUUGGCUAUUGGUGUUUGGUUUUUGGACAUGGAAUAAUGAUUGAUUAGUCCUCCACAAGCACCUUGAACCCAUCACCUUCACUGGAAACAUAGUUCUUACUUAACAGCAUGUUUUAUACAAAGUUCUAAGGAAAGUAAUUUUUAGAUUUGGCUUGGAGUCUAUGAGUUUCAUGGAUGAAGUUUAAUCUCUUUACUGGCAUGUCUAUUUUUUAUG
RNAcentral lists this long non-coding RNA (1593 nucleotides) under Homo sapiens (human). RNAcentral's name for it is "HSALNT0351643". Lineage: Eukaryota; Metazoa; Chordata; Mammalia; Primates; Hominidae. The record is from RNAcentral.